GAUGAACGCUGGCGGCGUGCCUAAUACAUGCAAGUCGAGCGAAGCGGGGACGGGUGAGUAACACGUGGCUAACCUCCUAUAAGACUGGGAUAACUUCGGGAACCCUGAGCUAAACCGGUCGCUUAUAGAUGGAUCCGCGCUGCUUUAGCUAGUUGGUAAGGUAACGGCUUACCAAGGCAACGAUGCAUAGCCGACCUGAGAGGAUGAUCAGUCACACUGGAACUGAGACACGGUCCAGACUCCUACGGGAGGCAGCAGUAGGGAAUAUUCGGCAAUGGGCGAAAGCCUGACGGAGCAACGCCGCGUGAGUGAUGAAGGUCUUCGGAUCGUAAAACUCUGUUAGUAGGGAAGCGGUACCUAAUCAGAAAGCAACGGCUAACUACGUGCCAGCAGCCGCGGUAAUUC
Molecule: ribosomal RNA, 405 nt
Filed under: uncultured bacterium
Lineage: Bacteria
Description: partial 16S ribosomal RNA
Rfam family: Bacterial small subunit ribosomal RNA
Source: RNAcentral